AAGGCAUGAGACCGGUGUUCGCUCGCCAUCUUGCAAGUUGGCAGCGAUCUGAGAUAUACGGUCUGAACUUGAUCAGGUUAACGCCUGCGAAAGGACUCAUGCUUUGCUUUCC
This 112-nucleotide non-coding RNA is filed under the name Stemphylium lycopersici. RNAcentral describes it as "TPP sequence". It matches the Rfam family "TPP riboswitch aptamer (THI element)". Rfam says of the family: Vitamin B(1) in its active form thiamin pyrophosphate (TPP) is an essential coenzyme that is synthesised by coupling of pyrimidine and thiazole moieties in bacteria. The previously detected thiamin-regulatory element, thi box was extended, resulting in a new, highly conserved RNA secondary structure, the THI element, which is widely distributed in eubacteria and also occurs in some archaea. Lineage: Eukaryota; Fungi; Ascomycota; Dothideomycetes; Pleosporales; Pleosporaceae. The record is from RNAcentral.